GAUGGACGCUGGCGGCGUGCCUAAUACAUGCAAGUCGAGCGAACGGACGAGAAGCUUGCUUCUCUGAUGUUAGCGGCGGACGGGUGAGUAACACGUGGAUAACCUACCUAUAAGACUGGGAUAACUUCGGGAAACCGGAGCUAAUACCGGAUGAUAUUUUGAACCGCAUGGUUCAAAAGUGAAAGACGGUCUUGCUGUCACUUAUAGAUGGAUCCGCGCUGCAUUAGCUAGUUGGUAAGGUAACGGCUUACCAAGGCAACGAUGCAUAGCCGACCUGAGAGGGUGAUCGGCCACACUGGAACUGAGAAACGGUCCAGACUCCUACGGGAGGUAGCAGUAGGGAAUCUUCCGCAAAGGGCGAAAGCCUGACGGAGCAACGCCGCGUGAGUGAUGAAGGUCUUCGGAUCGUAAAACUCUGUUAUUAGGGAAGAACAUAUGUGUAAGUAACUGUGCACAUCUUGACGGUACCUAAUCAGAAAGCCACGGCUAACUACGUG
RNAcentral lists this ribosomal RNA (497 nucleotides) under uncultured bacterium. Its description in RNAcentral is "partial 16S ribosomal RNA". It matches the Rfam family "Bacterial small subunit ribosomal RNA", at positions 28 to 507 of the family's 1533-position model. The record is from RNAcentral.